RNAcentral lists this ribosomal RNA (313 nucleotides) under uncultured bacterium. RNAcentral describes it as "bacterial SSU rRNA". It matches the Rfam family "Bacterial small subunit ribosomal RNA", at positions 481 to 793 of the family's 1533-position model. The record is from RNAcentral.
ACAGAAGAAGCACCGGCUAACUCCGUGCCAGCAGCCGCGGUAAUACGGAGGGUGCGAGCGUUAAUCGGAAUUACUGGGCGUAAAGCGCAUGCUAGGUGGUUUGUUAAGUCAGAUGUGAAAGCCCGGGGCUCAACCUCGGAAUUGCAUUUGAAACUGGCAAACUAGAGUACUGUAGAGGGGGUAGAAUUUCAGGUGUAGCGGUGAAAUGCGUAGAGAUCUGAAGGAAUACCGGUGGCGAAGGCGGCCCCCUGGACAGAUACUGACACUCAGAUGCGAAAGCGUGGGGAGCAAACAGGAUUAGAACCCCUGGUAG